RNAcentral lists this ribosomal RNA (414 nucleotides) under uncultured microorganism. Its description in RNAcentral is "bacterial SSU rRNA". It matches the Rfam family "Archaeal small subunit ribosomal RNA", at positions 459 to 872 of the family's 1478-position model. The record is from RNAcentral.
CAGCAGCCGCGGUAAUACCGGCGGCCCGAGUGGCGGUCACUAUUAUUGGGCUUAAAGCGUCCGUAGCCGGGUUGGGAAGUCCUCCGGGAAAUCUGGCCGCUUAACGGUCAGAAUGCCGGAGGAUACUCCCAGCCUAGGGAGCGGGAGAGGCCGAGGGUAUUCCCGGAGUUGGGGUGAAAUCCUAUAAUCCCGGGAGGACCACCUGUGGCGAAGGCGCUCGGCUGGAACGCGUCCGACGGUGAGGGACGAAGGCCAGGGGAGCAAACCGGAUUAGAUACCCGGGUAGUCCUGGCUGUAAACGAUGCGGACUUUGUGUCGGACAAGCUAUGAGCUUGUCCGGUGCCGGAGGGAAACCGUUAAGUCCGCCGCCUGGGGAGUACGGCCGCAAGGCUGAAACUUAAAGGAAUUGGCGGG